GCCGCGGUGGUGGAAUGGUAGACACUAGGGACUUAAAAUCCCUUGACCGCAAGGUCGUGUGGGUUCGACUCCCACCCGCGGUACCA
This 86-nucleotide transfer RNA is filed under the name Patescibacteria group bacterium. Its description in RNAcentral is "tRNA-Leu". It matches the Rfam family "tRNA". Rfam says of the family: Transfer RNA (tRNA) molecules are approximately 80 nucleotides in length. Their secondary structure includes four short double-helical elements and three loops (D, anti-codon, and T loops). Further hydrogen bonds mediate the characteristic L-shaped molecular structure. tRNAs have two regions of fundamental functional importance: the anti-codon, which is responsible for specific mRNA codon recognition, and the 3' end, to which the tRNAs corresponding amino acid is attached (by aminoacyl-tRNA synthetases). tRNAs cope with the degeneracy of the genetic code in two manners: having more than one tRNA (with a specific anti-codon) for a particular amino acid; and 'wobble' base-pairing, i.e. permitting non-standard base-pairing at the 3rd anti-codon position. The record is from RNAcentral.